GCCUUGAAAGCUUUAAGCGUUUUACCUUGUAAGUAGAAAAAAGUUAAUCAUUUUUUAACUCAAGACU
Molecule: transfer RNA, 67 nt
Filed under: Ophionotus victoriae
Lineage: Eukaryota; Metazoa; Echinodermata; Ophiuroidea; Amphilepidida; Ophiuridae
Description: tRNA-Thr
Source: RNAcentral